Molecule: transfer-messenger RNA, 339 nt
Filed under: Propionivibrio sp.
Lineage: Bacteria; Pseudomonadati; Pseudomonadota; Betaproteobacteria; Rhodocyclales; Rhodocyclaceae
Rfam family: Betaproteobacteria transfer-messenger RNA
About the family: Bacterial tmRNA, also known as 10Sa RNA or SsrA, is named for its dual tRNA and mRNA-like properties. Its role is to liberate the mRNA from a stalled ribosome.
Source: RNAcentral
UUUGGCGAGGAUCUUGAAUACUGAAGGUUGCACCCUCAUACUGUGCGUAUGGUUGUAAUUCCGGCGAUCUGGCGGCGUUCUGGACGCGGGUUCGAUUCCCGCCACCUCCACCUAAGCUCACCGAAGCAUCAAGCGGAUCGUGUGCUUAGGUGGGGGUGUACCGGUUUCGACAGGGCGAACAAAGGAAAGCAGGCAACUCGUCAGGCGAUCGACGUUAAUGAAGCAAAUCUCUAAACGCCAACGAUGAGCGUUUCGCACUGGCCGCUUAAGGCCUAUGCCGAGGCUGCUUGAGCCUUGUUACCAAAGAAAAGCCGGUGGGGACUUCGGUCCCCAUCGUCA